GUAGGUGCAAGCGUUGUCCGGAAUUAUUGGGGCGUAAAGCGCGCGCAGGCGGUUCUUUAAGUCUGAUGUGAAAGCCCACGGGCUCAACCGUGGAGGGUCAUUGGAAACUGGAGAACUUGAGUACAGAAGAGGAAAGCGGAAUUCCACGUGUAGCGGUGAAAUGCGUGGAGAUGUGGAGGAACACCAGUGGCGAAGGCGGCUUUCUGGUCUGUAACUGACGCUGAGGCGCGAAAGCGUGGGGAGCAGACAGGAUUAGAUACCCUGGUAGUCCACGCCGUAAACGAUGAGUGCUAAGUGUUAGGGGGUUUCCGGCCCCUUAGUGCUGCAGCUAACGCAUUAAGCACUCCGCCUGGGGAGUACGGCCGCAAGGCUG
RNAcentral lists this ribosomal RNA (373 nucleotides) under uncultured organism. RNAcentral describes it as "partial 16S ribosomal RNA". It matches the Rfam family "Bacterial small subunit ribosomal RNA", at positions 528 to 896 of the family's 1533-position model. The record is from RNAcentral.